AAAGAAUGUUUAAAGAAACAAUGUAUAAAAACUUAUGUAAAAGAAAGAAAUAAUAAAUACAAUAUACAGCCAA
Molecule: transfer RNA, 73 nt
Filed under: Arthonia susa
Lineage: Eukaryota; Fungi; Ascomycota; Arthoniomycetes; Arthoniales; Arthoniaceae
Description: tRNA-Ile
Source: RNAcentral